ACGGCUCAGUAACACGUGGACAACCUACCCUGAGGUCGGGGAUAAACCCGGGAAACUGGGUAUAAUACCCGAUAGAUCUAGAUCGCUGGAAUGCUUUUAGGUCUAAAGUUCCGACGCCUCAGGAUGGGUCUGCGGCCUAUCAGGGUAGUAGUGGGUGUAAAGUACCUACUAGCCUACGACGGGUACGGGUUGUGAGAGCAAGAGCCCGGAGAUGGAUUCUGAGACACGAAUCCAGGCCCUACGGGGUGCAGCAGGCGCGAAACCUUUACAAUGCUGGCAACAGCGAUAAGGGGACCUCGAGUGCUACGAUACAAUCGUGGCUGUCUAGUUGCCUAAAAAGCAAUUGAUAGCAAGGGCCGGGCAAGACCGGUGCCAGCCGCCGCGGUAACACCGGCGGCUCGAGUGGUAACCGCUAUUAUUGGGUCUAAAGGGUCUGUAGCCGGCUUAGUUAGUCUCUUGAGAAAUCUGGCCGCUCAACGGUCAGGCGUUCAGGGGAUACUGCUAAAGCUCGAGACCGGGAGAGGUGAGAGGUACUUCAGGGGUAGGGGUGAAAUCUUGUAAUCCUUGAAGGACCACCAGUGGCGAAGGCGUCUCACCAGAACGGAUCUGACGGCAAGGGGCGAAAGCUAGGGGCACGAACCGGAUUAGAUACCCGGGUAGUCCUAGCCGUAAACGAUACUCGCUAGGUGUCGGCCACGGUGCGACCGUGGUCGGUGCCGUAGGGAAGCCGUGAAGCGAGCCACCUGGGAAGUACGGCCGCAAGGCUGAAACUUAAAGGAAUUGGCGGGGGAGCAC
RNAcentral lists this ribosomal RNA (795 nucleotides) under uncultured archaeon. RNAcentral's name for it is "bacterial SSU rRNA". It matches the Rfam family "Archaeal small subunit ribosomal RNA", at positions 85 to 879 of the family's 1478-position model. The record is from RNAcentral.